This is a non-coding RNA of Cinara cedri, 251 nucleotides long. Lineage: Eukaryota; Metazoa; Arthropoda; Insecta; Hemiptera; Aphididae. The record is from the annotation of a GenBank genome assembly.
CGUAAUCCCCUGAUUACCGAACUAUCUACCAACACUAUUCCUGGUGACCCCAGAAGGCGUCUAAAACGUACCUGGUGUCGUGACCUACUAAUAUAAAAUUGUUUAUACCUCUAUCUCCCUAAUUUUGUAAUCACACCCUCUCCUACUAGCAAACUAAAAUUUCUAGCCUAAAAUCCUAACCUUAAGUACCUCCAAUGGGCGGUUUCUUAUCUCCAGCCUCUCAAAAGCCAUAUCACCUCCAUCACAUGCAC